UACGGAGGGAGCUAGCGUUGUUCGGAAUUACUGGGCGUAAAGCGCACGUAGGCGGUAUUUCAAGUCAGAGGUGAAAGCCCGGGGCUCAACCCCGGAAUAGCCUUUGAAACUGGAAGACUAGAAUCACGGAGAGGUGGGUGGAAUUCCGAGUGUAGAGGUGAAAUUCGUAGAUAUUCGGAAGAACACCAGUGGCGAAGGCGGCCCACUGGACGUGUAUUGACGCUGAGGUGCGAAAGCGUGGGGAGCAAACAGG
Molecule: ribosomal RNA, 253 nt
Filed under: uncultured bacterium
Lineage: Bacteria
Description: partial 16S ribosomal RNA
Rfam family: Bacterial small subunit ribosomal RNA
Source: RNAcentral